RNAcentral lists this ribosomal RNA (1049 nucleotides) under Proasellus ortizi. RNAcentral's name for it is "16S ribosomal RNA". The stretch from base 616 to 954 matches the Rfam family "Archaeal large subunit ribosomal RNA", at positions 2153 to 2718 of the family's 2987-position model. Lineage: Eukaryota; Metazoa; Arthropoda; Malacostraca; Isopoda; Asellidae. The record is from RNAcentral.
CCCGAAGUAGAAAGAGUUAAUUUAUUUAAGGUUAGUGUAGUAUAACUAUCAUAAAAGUAGGUUAGAGGUGACAUGCCAUUCAAUUUUUAUAUAUCUGGUUCGAUCUAAUAUAAUUGAAUUUAUAUGUAAGUUUUUGUACUUACUUAAAAAUGAGAUGUGGGUAAUCUCUCUAUUUUAAAUUAAACAAGUAGAGUUAAAGGUGGUUUAAUAACUUCCAUUAAGUUUAAUAAAAUUUUAUAAAUUUAAGAAGGAUCUAGCUAAAAAUCUAGUUAUAUAGAUAAAAAUAAAUAUAUUAGUAACAAUUAAAUUUAAUUUAUAGAUAGAUUUUUUAUAAUUUUAAUUUUAGGUAAAUUUAAAAAGAACUCGGCCUUUAAUUUAGUAAAUUUAAAAAGAACUCCGCAAUAUUCAGCUAGUAUGCUUAUCAAAGACAAUUCUCGGAUUAUCUCAAGUAAUCUCUGCCCUAUGAAUAAUUUAAAUGGCCGCAGUAUUUUGACUGUGCAAAGGUAGCAUAAUCACUUGUCUCUUAAUUGGAGGCUGGAAUGAAGGAGGCGACGAAAUUUAAACUUUUGAGUUAUAAUGUGAAAUUGACAUAAAGAUCAAAAGGUCUUUAUUCAUCAAAGGGACGAUAAGACCCUAUAAAACUUUACUAUAAAGCAAAUUAUUUAGUUAAAUUUAAAGAUUUAUAGUUUAGCUGGGGCGGUUUAUAUAAAAACAAUUGAAAAAAUAAUAUAUUUAAUAAAGUUUGAGAACUCUUGUAGGAAAUAAAUAAGUUACUUUAGGGAUAACAGCAUAAUUCUCCCAGAGAGUCCUUAUUGGCGGGGGCGCUUAUGACCUCGAUGUUGAAUUGGGAAGUCUGGUGUAAGCAGAAAUACAUUAAGAUAGUCUGUUCUGAUGUUUGACUCCCACAUGAUUUCAGGUCAGACAGGCGCGAGCCAGGUUGGUUUCUAUCUUUUGAAAGAUUUCGAUUUAAGUUGAUUCAGACCGAAGGCUAGGUUGGUUUCUAUCUUUUGAAAGUUUUAGAUUUAAAUUGUACGAAAGGACCUUUAAGU